This 499-nucleotide ribosomal RNA is filed under the name uncultured bacterium. RNAcentral describes it as "partial 16S ribosomal RNA". It matches the Rfam family "Bacterial small subunit ribosomal RNA", at positions 28 to 507 of the family's 1533-position model. The record is from RNAcentral.
GACGAACGCUGGCGGCGUGCCUAAUACAUGCAAGUCGAGCGAAGUUUUUCUGGUGCUUGCACCGGAAAAACUUAGCGGCGAACGGGUUAGUCACACGUAAAGAACCUGCCUCAUAGACUGGGACAACUAUUGGAAACGAUAGCUAAUACCGGAUAAUAUCAUUAACUGCAUGGUUGAUGUUUAAUAGUUGGUUUUGCUAACACAAUGACAUGUCUUUGCGGUUCAUUAGCUAGUUGGUGGGGUAAAGGCCUACCAAGUCGACGAUGGAUAGCCGACCUGAAGGGGUGAUCGGACACACUGGGACUGAGAAACGGCCGAGACUCUUACGGGAGGACGCAGUAGGGAAUCUUCCGGAAGGGGCGAAAGCGUGACGGAGCAACGCCGCGUGAGUGAAGAAGGAUUUAGGUUCGUAAAGCUCUGUUGUUAGGGAAGAAGGAUUGUGUAGUAACUAUACACAGUAGAGACGGUACCUAACCAGAAAGCCACGGCUAACUACGUG